UACCGUCAAACUUACAAGAUAUUAACCUAUAAGCAUUUCUUCCCAUCUGACAGGGUUUUUACGACCCGAAAGCCUUCCUCACCCACGCGGCGUCGCUGCGUCAGGGUUGCCCCCCAUUGCGCAAUAUUCCUCA
RNAcentral lists this ribosomal RNA (133 nucleotides) under uncultured bacterium. RNAcentral describes it as "partial 16S ribosomal RNA". The record is from RNAcentral.